GAUAAACUCAGAGGGGAGAAUAGGAUUUAUAUUUACCAUUUACUGGGUAGAAUACCGCAAAAGAGAAAAUAUGUCACCAGUUAAGAAGAAUAUAUCAAGGAUGAACUCUUCUUGGUAAAGUAGGAAUUACAACUACCUUUUUACUGGGUAGAGUACCAAAGAGGAAGCAUAUCCAUCAUCAGUUAAGAUGAACAUAUCAAGGAUAGACUCGCUGGGGAAACGAGAAAACGAAUCCGUUGGAGAAAAACAA
RNAcentral lists this long non-coding RNA (250 nucleotides) under Lathyrus oleraceus (garden pea). RNAcentral describes it as "Pisum sativum (pea) long non-coding RNA (PSAT_LNC020788)". Lineage: Eukaryota; Viridiplantae; Streptophyta; Magnoliopsida; Fabales; Fabaceae. The record is from RNAcentral.